UGGACUCUCUCUCUUGCUCACAAUAAAUAAAUAGAAGUUAAAACAAAAAGGGAGGACUCCUUAUCACUUUCAGAAAAAGAAAAACAAAAAAAGGAAAAAAAAAUCAUUUUUCUUCUUUCCCACAACACCAACACGCAUCAAUUCCGGCCGCUGCACAUCUCCCUCCUUCGUCCAAACCCAUCAUCGUCAACAACCUUUCUUCCACACUCGUCGCGACCUACCAACAACCGUCGCCGGGACCACACCACCGG
This 251-nucleotide long non-coding RNA is filed under the name Lathyrus oleraceus (garden pea). RNAcentral describes it as "Pisum sativum (pea) long non-coding RNA (PSAT_LNC018601)". The record is from RNAcentral. Lineage: Eukaryota; Viridiplantae; Streptophyta; Magnoliopsida; Fabales; Fabaceae.